This 433-nucleotide ribosomal RNA is filed under the name uncultured bacterium. RNAcentral describes it as "partial 16S ribosomal RNA". It matches the Rfam family "Bacterial small subunit ribosomal RNA", at positions 29 to 507 of the family's 1533-position model. The record is from RNAcentral.
AACGAACGCUGGCGGCAUGCCUAACACAUGCAAGUCGAACGAGACCUUCGGGUCUAGUGGCGCACGGGUGCGUAACGCGUGGGAACCUGCCCUUAGGUUCGGAAUAACUCCCCGAAAGGGGUGCUAAUACCGGAUAAUGUCUUCGGACCAAAGAUUUAUCGCCUUUGGAUGGGCCCGCGUUGGAUUAGCUAGUUGGUAGGGUAAAAGCCUACCAAGGCGACGAUCCAUAGCUGGUCUGAGAGGAUGAUCAGCCACACUGGGACUGAGACACGGCCCAGACUCGGACGGGAAGCAGCAGUGGGGAAUAUUGGACAAUGGGCGAAAGCCUGAUCCAGCAAUGCCGCGUGAGUGAUGAAGGCCUUAGGGUUGUAAAGCUCUUUUACCCGGGAUGAUAAUGACAGUACCGGGAGAAUAAGCUCCGGCUAACUCCGUG